CCCUUAGAUGUUCUGGGCCGCACGCGCGCUACACUGAUGACUUCAACGAGUUUUUUCUAUUUGGAAAUGUCCUUAACCGGAAGGUUUGGGUAAUCUUUUAAAUGGUCAUCGUGAUGGGGCUAGAUUCUUGCAAUUAUUAAUCUCCAACGAGGAAUUCCUAGUAAACGCAAGUCAUCAACUUGCAUUGAUUACGUCCCUGCCCUUUGUACACACCGCCCGUCGCACCUACCGAUUGAAUGUUCCGGUGAGCUCUUCGGACUGCGCGGUCUGCAGUUUCUGCGUUCCGUGCGGAAAGUUGCGCAAACCUUAACAUUUAGAGGAAGGAGAAGUCGUAACA
RNAcentral lists this ribosomal RNA (337 nucleotides) under uncultured eukaryote. Its description in RNAcentral is "partial 18S ribosomal RNA". It matches the Rfam family "Eukaryotic small subunit ribosomal RNA", at positions 1470 to 1796 of the family's 1831-position model. The record is from RNAcentral.